Molecule: ribosomal RNA, 466 nt
Filed under: uncultured bacterium
Lineage: Bacteria
Description: partial 16S ribosomal RNA
Rfam family: Bacterial small subunit ribosomal RNA
Source: RNAcentral
GAUGAACGCUGGCGGCGUGCUUAACACAUGCAAGUCGAACGAUGAAGCCCAGCUUGCUGGGUGGAUUAGUGGCGAACGGGUGAGUAACACGUGAGUAACCUGCCCUUAACUCUGGGAUACGACUGGGAAACUGGGACUAAUACCGGAUAGGAGCGCCUACCGCAUGGUGGGUGUUGGAAAGAUUUAUCGGUUUUGGAUGGACUCGCGGCCUAUCAGCUGGUUGGUGAGGAAAUGGCUCACCAAGGCGACGACGGGUAGCCGGCCUGAGAGGGUGACCGGCCACACUGGGACUGAUACACGGCCCAGACUCCUACGGGAGGCAGCAGUGGGGAAUAUUGCACAAUGGGCGAAAGCCUGAUGCAGCGGCGCCGCGUGAGGGAUGACGGCCUUCGGGUUGUAAACCUCUUUCAGUAGGGAAGAAGCGAAAGUGACGGUACCUGCAGAAGAAGCACCGGCUAACUACGUG